UCUCAGUUCGGAUCGGAGUCUGCAACCCGACUCCGUGAAGCUGGAUUCGCUAGUAAUCGCGCAUCAGCCAUGGCGCGGUGAAUACGUUCCCGGGCCUUGUACACACCGCCCGUCAAGCCAUGGGAGCCGGGGGUGCUUGAAGUGCGUCGCCGCAAGGCGCGCCCUAGAGCAAAACCGGUGACUGGGGCUAAGUCGUAACAAGGUAUC
RNAcentral lists this ribosomal RNA (207 nucleotides) under uncultured bacterium. Its description in RNAcentral is "partial 16S ribosomal RNA". It matches the Rfam family "Bacterial small subunit ribosomal RNA", at positions 1286 to 1500 of the family's 1533-position model. The record is from RNAcentral.